RNAcentral lists this ribosomal RNA (351 nucleotides) under uncultured bacterium. Its description in RNAcentral is "bacterial SSU rRNA". It matches the Rfam family "Bacterial small subunit ribosomal RNA", at positions 565 to 913 of the family's 1533-position model. The record is from RNAcentral.
GAGCUCGUAGGCGGCUUGUCGCGUCGGAUGUGAAAGCCCGGGGCUUAACUCCGGGUCUGCAUUCGAUACGGGCAGGCUAGAGUGUGGUAGGGGAGAUCGGAAUUCCUGGUGUAGCGGUGAAAUGCGCAGAUAUCAGGAGGAACACCAGUGGCGAAGGCGGAUCUCUGGGCCAUUACUGACGCUGAGGAGCGAAAGCGUGGGGAGCGAACAGGAUUAGAUACCCUGGUAGUCCACGCCGUAAACGUUGGGAACUAGGUGUGGGUCACAUUCCACGUGGUCCGCGCCGCAGCUAACGCAUUAAGUUCCCCGCCUGGGGAGUACGGCCGCAAGGCUAAAACUCAAAGGAAUUGA